This 465-nucleotide ribosomal RNA is filed under the name Vreelandella stevensii. RNAcentral's name for it is "partial 16S ribosomal RNA". It matches the Rfam family "Bacterial small subunit ribosomal RNA", at positions 338 to 795 of the family's 1533-position model. The record is from RNAcentral. Lineage: Bacteria; Pseudomonadati; Pseudomonadota; Gammaproteobacteria; Oceanospirillales; Halomonadaceae.
CCUACGGGUGGCAGCAGUGGGGAAUAUUGGACAAUGGGGGCAACCCUGAUCCAGCCAUGCCGCGUGUGUGAAGAAGGCCCUCGGGUUGUAAAGCACUUUCAGUGAGGAAGAACGCCUGGUGGUUAAUACCCAUCAGGAAAGACAUCACUCACAGAAGAAGCACCGGCUAACUCCGUGCCAGCAGCCGCGGUAAUACGGAGGGUGCGAGCGUUAAUCGGAAUUACUGGGCGUAAAGCGCGCGUAGGUGGCUUGAUAAGCCGGUUGUGAAAGCCCCGGGCUCAACCUGGGAACGGCAUCCGGAACUGUCAAGCUAGAGUGCAGGAGAGGAAGGUAGAAUUCCCGGUGUAGCGGUGAAAUGCGUAGAGAUCGGGAGGAAUACCAGUGGCGAAGGCGGCCUUCUGGACUGACACUGACACUGACGUGCGAACGCUUUUUUCUCGCCCACGCUUCUCUCCCCGGGUAGUC